AGUGAACGCUGGCGGUAGGCCUAACACAUGCAAGUCGAACGGCAGCACAGUAAGAGCUUGCUCUUACGGGUGGCGAGUGGCGGACGGGUGAGGAAUACAUCGGAAUCUACUUUUUCGUGGGGGACAACGGAGGGAAACUUACGCUAAUACCGCAUACGACCUACGGGUGAAAGCAGGGGAUCUUCGGACCUUGCGCGAUUGAAUGAGCCGAUGUCGGAUUAGCUAGUUGGCGGGGUAAAGGCCCACCAUGGCGACGAUCCGUAGCUGGUCUGAGAGGAUGGUCAGCCACUCUGGAAUUGAGCUACGGUCGCAGGGCAUAGAGGAGGAAGAAGACGGCAAUAAUGGCCGCAGGGCGAAAGGCUGAUGGAGCAAAGCCGCGUAGGUGACAAAGGUCUUCGCAGCGUAAAGCUCGUUUGUUGGGAAAGAACAGACGGCCGCCUAAAGUGGGUCGUUGUGACGGUACCCCAGAACAGAGCAACGGCUAACUACGUG
RNAcentral lists this ribosomal RNA (492 nucleotides) under uncultured bacterium. Its description in RNAcentral is "partial 16S ribosomal RNA". It matches the Rfam family "Bacterial small subunit ribosomal RNA", at positions 29 to 507 of the family's 1533-position model. The record is from RNAcentral.